RNAcentral lists this ribosomal RNA (1332 nucleotides) under Apis cerana (Asiatic honeybee). Its description in RNAcentral is "large subunit ribosomal RNA". The stretch from base 1080 to 1239 matches the Rfam family "Archaeal large subunit ribosomal RNA", at positions 2544 to 2703 of the family's 2987-position model. Lineage: Eukaryota; Metazoa; Arthropoda; Insecta; Hymenoptera; Apidae. The record is from RNAcentral.
AAUUGAUAUAUUUAAUUUUAUGAUAUUAGUAUUAAUGAUAAUUUAUAAUUUUUAAAAUUUUAUAAAAUUUUUAUGUUUAAUUAAUUAUUUAGAAAUAAUUAUUUAAUUUAUAAUUUAAAGUAAUGUGAAUGAAUAUUUAAAAAUAAAAAAAAGUAGAAUUAUUUUUGUACCUUUUGUAUCAGGGUUGAUUAAAAUUUAUUUAAUAAAUUUAAAUAUCUCGAAAAUAAGUGAGCUAAGUUUAUAAUAUUUUUUUUGUUGCAAUAAAAUUAUAAAUAUAAAUUUAGAGAUUAAAUGUUAUUCGAACUUAUUGAUAUCUAGUUUUUUUAGAAAUAAAUUUAAUUUAGAUAUAAAAUCUUUAAUACCUUAAAAUUUAUUUAUAGUAUUAAUUUUUAUAUUAAAAAUUUAUGGGAUAAACUAUAAAUUUAUUUAUAAAAAUUUUUGAUUUUGUUUAUAAUAUUAUGAAGUUAAUAUUUUUUAUUAAUAUAAAAAAUUUAAUAAUUUAGUUAUUAAUUUUAAAAAAUUUAAAUUUUGAAUUUUAUUUAUUCUAUAAAAACAUAUAUUUUAAUUUUUAAGAUAUAGUGAUAAUGAUUAAAUUAGUAAUAAAAGUAUAUUUAAUAAUAUAUAAAUUAUUUAUAUAUAUAUAAUUUAAAGGAACUCGGCAAAAUUGAUUAUUCACCUGUUUAACAAAAACAUGGCCUAUUGAAUAUAAUUUUAGGUCGAUCUGCUCCAUGAAAUAAAUUUAAAUAGCUGCAGUAUAUUGACUGUACAAAGGGUAGCAUAAUAAAUUGUCUUUUAAUUGAAGAAUUGAAUGAAUGAAUUGAUGAAAUAACAACUGUCUCUAUUUUAUUUAAUGAAUUUAAAUUUUUAGUAAAAAUUCUGAAAUUUAAUUAUGGGACGAUAAGACCCUAUAGAAUUUUAUUUAAUAUAAUUAUUUAUUUAAAUUAUUUGUGAAUAUAUAAUUAAUUUAAAUUUGAUUGGGAGGAUUGGUAAAUAAAAAUAACUUUAUCUAAAAAUUAAUUUUGAUGAAAAGAUUUAUUUUUGACUUAUAAUUUAUGAUUAAAAGAAUAAAUUACCUUAGGGAUAACAGCGUAAUAUCUUUUGAUAGACCACAUUGAUAAAGAUGUUUGCGACCUCGAUGUUGAAUUAAGAGAAAAGUUAAACGCAGGAGUUUAAAAUUUUAAGUCUGUUCGACUUUUAAAAUCUUACAUGAUUUGAGUUCAAAUCGACGUAAGUCAGAUUGGUUUCUAUCUAUAAUAAAAUUAAAAUUAUUUGUACGAAAGGACUUUAAUUUUUAAAUUAUUUAUAAUAUUAAUUAAUGAAUAUAUUAAUUUG